Molecule: long non-coding RNA, 2427 nt
Organism: Prosopis cineraria
Lineage: Eukaryota; Viridiplantae; Streptophyta; Magnoliopsida; Fabales; Fabaceae
Exons: 2
Source: RefSeq, a predicted model, not a curated record
CCCACCCAAUUUCAUCAAAGCACAGCCCUCUCCCCCUCUCACUUUUAACGCCCGCCGCUAUCGAGACCCACUCUGCCGUCGUGAAAGUCAUUGUACAUAGCUUGCUCUAUUAAGAUCGCGCGAUCGAAGAUCACAACUUCAGCAAGCCGAGCAUGUCGCCGUUUCAGAUCAGUUGCACAUCUCUGUUCUGUCUGUCGCCGUUUGGUCGUUCUGUCAAGUCCAUUGCCAUUUCAGAUCUAUUAUUCACCUUGAGCUGUCGUUGUUCCAAAUCUGAUGUUCCAUUGAAGCUAUCCACCGUCGUUUUGCCUCCAUCCGCCGUUACGCUGAUAAUCCUUGAGUUUCUGUGUUACACUUCUUCUUGCCUGUCGUCCUCUUCUUCUCCCACAUUGUCACCCUUCCAUCAGACUCUUCAAGUUUUGGUCAGUUCAUACAUUAAAUAUCCGCGAUUUCUUUGUAUUUCUUUCUCUGGCGAUUAUAUAUUGGAAUUUAAAUUCUGAGGAAUUUGUUUUUCUUCCCAAUAUUACCUUCUCACAUUUCUUUUCUUUGAAUGUGAGUUCGGUGCUGAGAAUGGAGCAUGAUUUUGGGAGUUAAGAGGAGUCUUUUUUGAAGAAGAUGGGAGGAAGUUGCUUCUACAAAAAUAAUAAUAAUAAUAACAACAAACAAACAAACAAACAAAAAACAAAGAAACACACACACACACACACACACACAGAGAUAAGUCUUCAUGUUUGGCUGUGCCCCUCCUAGGGCUCAACUAGAUCCAUGGACAUUUCAUUCGCAAUUAGCUCUGGAUUAAUUUUUGUGAGUUGUUUGAUUUGGUGAACAGAGCAAGUUAUUGACGGGCUUGAUAGAACAGUGUUGGAUAUGAACAGAGCAACAUAGCUAUUUACUAUGAAUUUGAACUAGUGUCAUUUGUGAAGGUGAGUUUCGUUUUUGAAGAUCUAGCUGUAAGCUUCGCUUAUCAGAGUCCAAGCUAUUUUUACAUUCCCCGGGUGAUAAUCAAGUUCAGUUGGCUGGAUAGAAAUAACAAGGUUAAUUAAUUAACCUUUAGCAGAAAUCUUCAAUUCGAGGAUGAAGACCAACUUAUUGUAGAUAGUUGAGCCAUGUUGUUUAAUGAUAAUAAUCAACUCUGUUUUCCAAUCUGACUUGAUUUAUUGGUGACUAUACUUCUAUAUUAUAUAUAUGUCAUGUGGAAUUGCUAAUAUUGUACCGUAUUUUACUUUGUGCUUCUGACAAUGGCAGUCUUCAACUUUUCUAGAUUCUAAUCCUGGAAGGCCACCCCAAAAUAUCAGGCUACUAACAAUCUUAAUAAUAAUUUUAUAUCCAUCUUCUAUCAGUUCUUACAUCCUCCUCUCCAACGGGAAUUCGUAACAUCUUUAAUUGUCAAGUCUAUCGGGUAUAUAUUCCUCUUCAAAGAGGGGUCAUGUAUUCCUUUUCUUUUUUUAAAUCUUAUAUUUUAUCAAGAAUUGGAGGAAUUAAUCUCUUCCAUUUGUAAAACAAGUACUGAUAAGGAGUGGUGCCUUGCGUCUUGAGCUCUUGGCUCUUUAAUAUUUGACUAUCUUUUUAGACUUGUGCUAUUUUCACCCAUCUUGCCGAAAGCACUAAAGACUCUAUUCUACUGGUAACAAAGUGCUGGACUGUGAUUGUGAAAGUUUCUUACUGAUAACUGAUAUAUGAGAUUACAUACUUUAGCAAGAGUGAGUAAGGGGCAAAUGACUUUGGACUGUGGUUGUGAAUUGCUUGUGGAGGUUGACGCAGUGCAGUUAUCACAGGUACAUAAUGUGCUCUCCACUGUAUGUUUGUUUCCCAAACUCGUUGAUAUUAUAACUUUUUUUACCUUGUGUAAUUUUACUUUUAUUUCUUCAUUAUGGAACGUUUUUCAUGUACGACCAAAAUCCUUUUAGUGAACUAGGGAUAUUGAAGGAAAUUUACUAUUAGUCACCUUCAUGCACGAUGAUUGUACUCGAACUGUAGUGGUUCUCUUAUUUUUGUUCUUUUUUGUUUGUUACUUGUACUAUUUUAAUAGAAUAGCUCUAGCUUUGUCUUGGAUGUUUUGCUUGUACAACUAUACUAUCAAAGUAUUAUAUUUUGACUCCUUGAUUAGUUAUAGUUGUAUGAGAUUGCAAAACCCCUUGCUCAUGCCAAAAAGAAUGGGGAAUAAAAGAGUGGUGAGAGAAGAAGAGUAAACAUGCUUUUUGUGAAGCCCUUGAAAAGGUCAAAGGAGGUCCAGUGCAAUGCAACUUUCUCAUUAAUUAUUAUCUUUUGCUUUGCGAAGGUUUUUCACUUUGCAUUAUGAAAUGAAGUAAAAUUUUCCUAUAUGAUUAGAAUUUCAGUUAUAACAUGCAUUUCUGCUAGUCAUGGGUGUACUCCAAUAAUUAAGUUAUUUUUCAUUCAAAUUUAUUGAUCCAAUAAUAUUUUUGUCCUUCA